This is a long non-coding RNA of Sus scrofa (pig), 2242 nucleotides long. RefSeq lists it as uncharacterized. NCBI's taxonomy places the organism in Eukaryota, Metazoa, Chordata, Mammalia, Artiodactyla, Suidae. The record is from RefSeq and is a predicted model, not a curated record.
AGCAGUCCUAUCUUCUCCAACAGUCUCUGAAAUGUGUUCUUCUGCAAUCAGUCAUGUAUUCACUAAUUAAAUACAACUGUUUUCCGUAGAAGACUUCACACACCACCGUUUGCUAAGUAUGACUCAAGAAUUAUGUCUCAAAGAAUUUUGAUGGCAUGUGUUUGAACAGACUCCUACAGUAAGUCUUGCUGAUACUGACACUUGGUAAUGUCAGUAACUACAGCCAUCCUUACAACUCCUGGCCAUUCCUAGAAACAAGCAUGGUGCUGUAGUCCAUGUGGAUAAUUGAAUGGACACAAUGAAUGGAUUAUCUGCACAAGGAUAGGUUUGCUGUUAUCUUUAGAUGCAUCAUUAAUGACUGAUAUCUGAUUUUUAAAAUCAUUUUCAUGGUCAUGAUUAUCUUAUCAUCCUUGUUCCAUUUUUCACUGGUCCACCAAAGAGUGAAGCACGAAACAGAAGUAGAGCUGGCCCCUUUGAUAUAUAUCAAGAACACUUUUGUAAACUCUCAUGUGGUGAAAAUCCUCUAAAUUCUAGGAUGGAAUGAAGAAUUUAUACUCACUCAUGAUUUGAAAUUCUCCACAUUUGAUCUGAAUCAAAAUCCCAGGAAAGACUCAUUAGAAAGACUCUCCUAUAACUUGAAGUUACCUGUGACAGCCUCGUGUCACAAGUGGUCACCUUGACACAGCAGACUUGGGAGCCUCAGUCCAAGCCCCAGGACAUCCACUUCUUGAAGCUACACACGUCACUGGCUGCAGCCACUCACCUGGCAGUCAUCUGGUUAAAAUAAACUCAAGGACCUUCAUCCUCAGUAUUCCCUUGAAGUUCACAGAAGUCAAGAGGCUCCAUGUUGAAAAUCAGAAGCUGAUACGAACCAGAAUAUAAGAACAACUCUACAGAGUCCAUAUUUAAUUCUCUGCCUAUCAGAAGGCUAUUCGUGGGUAGAGAAGAGACUUCACUACUUUUUAGAGGACAUGCACAUCCUUGUAAACAUGUGAGAUGAAAUAAUGAAAUGUCUAGGAUGUGCUUUAAAAUACUUCGGGAAAGGCUCUGGCGUACCACCCAAGGAAAAAGAGUUGACAGAGCAUUAACUUAGCUUGCGAGCAAAGAAACGAAGCAAGAUGUGUAACAUAUCCAGGGAUUUAGAGGAAUGGCACAGCUUCAGUCCUGGUUAAUAACCCCAAGUCGCUGGCGAAAUGAGAGCCUUUGCUCUUUUCCAGAUUCUUCGUGGAAUCAUUUCCAGGGCAUUUGCUUUCAAUCUCCAUGAGGAUAUAAACAAUGUGGAUUUUGGAGUCAAACAGCUGGAGUUCAAAUCGAGCCUUUGCCAAUCAUUGGCUGAUGACCUUCAGAAAUCUACUUAACUCUCCUAAGAUCUCAGUUGCUUUAUUUGCAAAAUGGGAUAAUAGAUCUUCAGGUGAAAUAAGGUAUUUGAAAGCGCCCAUCCCCGUCACCGUCAUCACCACCGCCACCAUCAUCACCAUCUUACAGCUGGAAAACCUGAGGCUCCAGGGGAUACAGAGACCUACUCAGCGUUGGGCAGAACUGCCAGGAGGCAAUGCAGGCUCCUGAACUCAAACCUGGACGCUUCCUCUGAGCUGACAGCUCCACAGCGGCGGCAGGGCCAGGAAGGGCACAGCUAUGAGCAUCACCAGCAUCAGCAGUGAGUUCUACCUUUGAGGAUUUAAUACAUUUGUAUCUACAAGCAAACAGCUGGAAUACAGCUUCAGAACCAUUCCUGGGCUGGCAGGCAGAACAAAGAAUGCCAGAUGCUCUGCAAGAGAUGCUCAAUGUCAGCUGGCACUGGGAGGAACAAGCCCCCACUUGGUACCCAGAAAUGCCAGCUAAGAUGCAUCAGCUGGUAAGCCCUGGGGCAAUCCGGGAAGCAGAAGGAUGGGAAAAUGAGCCCUGCUUGCUCAGGCUGCUUACUUUCUUCUCUACCCAGCCAUGGACACACCUACUAACUCCGGUUUUACAAAAAGCAAAGCUCCUGCAUGUUCUCCAGCUGGACUCAGGAACACAGGCAAAAUCAUGCAUAACAUCGCAUAAGCUUCUUUCCUUCCACUCAUCUAAGGGCACCCUGAACUAUCCUGACCUGACUUCCCCCAAAUAUGCCUCUGGAGCAGAUCAGUUUUGAAAGCAGCCUCAGGAGUAAAGGCACCAGCAGCUUUUCACCCACUCCUGCCACGAUCAUCCGCUGGCACCCUGAACAGUGGCUGGAGACACCUCAGAGAAAUCGCGCGUCGCC